RNAcentral lists this ribosomal RNA (483 nucleotides) under uncultured bacterium. Its description in RNAcentral is "bacterial SSU rRNA". It matches the Rfam family "Bacterial small subunit ribosomal RNA", at positions 10 to 507 of the family's 1533-position model. The record is from RNAcentral.
UGUUUGAUCCUGGCUCCCGACGAACGCUGGCGGCGUGCUUUAUACAUGCAAGUCGAACGAUGAAGUUACUUCGGUAAUGGAUUAGUGGCGAACGGGUGAGGAACACGUGAAGAAUCUGCCCCUCAUUUUGGGAUAACUUCGGGAAACCGAGGCUAAUACCGAAUAUUGAAACAUAAGUGGCAUCACUGAGUUUUGAAAGUUUUUCGAUGAGGGAUGACUUCGCGGCCUAUCAGCUAGUUGGUGAGGUAACGGCUCACCAAGGCAACGACGGGUAGCCGGCCUGAGAGGGCGAACGGCCACACUGGGACUGAGACACGGCCCAGACUCCUACGGGAGGCAGCAGUAGGGAAUAUUGCGCAAUGGAGGAAACUCUGACGCAGCGACGCCGCGUGCGGGAUGAAGGCCUUCGGGUUGUAAACCGCUUUCAGUAGGGAAGAAGCGAAAGUGACGGUACCUACAAAAGAAGCACCGGCUAACUAUGUG